RNAcentral lists this ribosomal RNA (501 nucleotides) under uncultured bacterium. RNAcentral's name for it is "partial 16S ribosomal RNA". It matches the Rfam family "Bacterial small subunit ribosomal RNA", at positions 30 to 523 of the family's 1533-position model. The record is from RNAcentral.
AUUGAACGCUGGCGGCAGGCUUAACACAUGCAAGUCGAGCGGGGAAGGGUAGCUUGCUACCUAACCUAGCGGCGGACGGGUGAGUAAUGCUUAGGAAUCUGCCAUUUAGUGGGGGACAACAUUCCGAAAGGAAUGCUAAUACCGCAUACGUCCUACGGGAGAAAGCAGGGGAUCUUCGGACCUUGCGCUAAAUGAUGAGCCUAAGUCGGAUUAGCUAGUUGGUGGGGUAGAGGCCUACCAAGGCGACGAUCUGUAGCGGGUCUGAGGGGAUGAUCCGCCACACUGGAACUGAGACACGGCCCGGACUCCUACGGGAGGCAGCAGUGGGGAAUAUUGGACAAUGGGCGGAAGCCUGAUCCAGCCAUGCCGCGUGUGUGAAGAAGGCCUUAUGGCUGUAAAGCACUUUAAGCGAGGAGGAGGCUACUUAGAUUAAUACUCUAGGAUAGUGGACGUUACUCGCAGAAUAAGCACCGGCUAACUCUGUGCCAGCAGCCGCAGUAA